UGAGUAAUGUAUCGGAACGUGCCUAGUAGCGGGGGAUAACUACGACGAAAGCGUAGCUAAUACCGCAUACGCCCUACGGGGGAAAGCAGGGGAUCACAAGACCUUGCACUAUUAGAGCGGCCGAUAUCGGAUUAGCUAGUUGGUGGGGUAACGGCUCACCAAGGCAACAAUACGUAGCUGGUUUGAGAGGACGACCAGCCACACUGGGACUGAGACACGGCCCACACUCCUACAGGAGGCAGCAGUGGGGAAUUUUGGACAAUGGGGGAAACCCUGAUCCAGCCAUCCCGCGUGUGCGAUGAAAGCCUUCGGGUUGUCAAGCACUUUUGGCAGGAAAGAAACGUCAUGGGCUAAUACCCCGUGAAACUGACGGUACCUGCAGAAUGAGCACCGGCUAACUACGUGCCAGCAGCCGC
Molecule: ribosomal RNA, 416 nt
Filed under: uncultured Achromobacter sp.
Lineage: Bacteria; Pseudomonadati; Pseudomonadota; Betaproteobacteria; Burkholderiales; Alcaligenaceae
Description: bacterial SSU rRNA
Rfam family: Bacterial small subunit ribosomal RNA
Source: RNAcentral